RNAcentral lists this ribosomal RNA (165 nucleotides) under uncultured bacterium. RNAcentral describes it as "partial 16S rRNA". It matches the Rfam family "Bacterial small subunit ribosomal RNA", at positions 355 to 510 of the family's 1533-position model. The record is from RNAcentral.
UAGGGAAUCUUCGGCAAUGGGGGCGAACCCUGACCGAGCAACGCCGCGUGAGUGAAGAAGGUUUUCGGAUCGUAAAGCUCUGUUGUAAGAGAAGAACGUGUGUGAGAGUGGAAAGUUCACACAGUGACGGUAACUUACCAGAAAGGGACGGCUAACUACGUGCAG